UACGUAGGGGGCAAGCGUUGUCCGGAUUUAUUGGGCGUAAAGAGCGUGUAGGCGGUUAGGUAGGUCCGUUGUGAAAACUCGAGGCUCAACCUCGAGACGCCGAUGGAAACCAUCUGACUAGAGUCCGGAAGAGGAGAGUGGAAUUCCUGGUGUAGCGGUGAAAUGCGCAGAUAUCAGGAAGAACACCCGUGGCGAAGGCGGUUCUCUGGGACGGUACUGACGCUGAGACGCGAAAGCGUGGGGAGCGAACAGG
Molecule: ribosomal RNA, 253 nt
Filed under: uncultured bacterium
Lineage: Bacteria
Description: partial 16S ribosomal RNA
Rfam family: Bacterial small subunit ribosomal RNA
Source: RNAcentral